CUACGGGUGGCUCCAGUGAGGAAUAUUGCACAAUGGGGGGAACCCUGAUGCAGCAAUGCCGCGUGGGGGAUGACGCAUUUCGGUGUGUAAACUCCUUUUAUAUGUCAAGAAAAUGACGGUAGCAUAUGAAUAAGCACCGGCUAACUCCGUGCCAGCAGCCGCGGUAAUACGGAGGGUGCAAGCGUUACUCGGAAUCACUGGGCGUAAAGGACGCGUAGGCGGGUUGGAAAGUCAGGUGUGAAAUCCUACAGCUUAACUGUAGAACUGCACUUGAAACUUCUAAUCUAGAGUAUGGGAGGGGGAGAUGGAAUUAGUGGUGUAGGGGUAAAAUCCGUAAAUAUCACUAGGAAUACCUAAAGCGAAGGCGAUCUCCUGGAACAUUACUGACGCUAAGGCGUGAAAGCGUGGGGAGCAAACAGGAUUAGAUACCCUAGUAGUC
This 439-nucleotide ribosomal RNA is filed under the name uncultured bacterium. Its description in RNAcentral is "partial 16S ribosomal RNA". It matches the Rfam family "Bacterial small subunit ribosomal RNA", at positions 339 to 795 of the family's 1533-position model. The record is from RNAcentral.